This is a long non-coding RNA of Jaculus jaculus (lesser Egyptian jerboa), 700 nucleotides long. RefSeq lists it as uncharacterized. The record is from RefSeq and is a predicted model, not a curated record. Lineage: Eukaryota; Metazoa; Chordata; Mammalia; Rodentia; Dipodidae. The transcript has 3 exons.
AGAGCACCUUUGCUGUUUCUCUCUCAUUCCCUUUCUGUAAAAUAUCCAGACAGGAAGGAGGUGGCCGCAGAGGCUGAACAAACAUCUCAUAUUCUGCCUGCAAUGCCAUCGUUUCUUUCCCCCAUUUUAGGGGGGUGAAGUCAACCAGGAAGGGAUGCAGAGGAACUGGAGAGGAAGGGGGAGCUCUCCAGAGGCUGCUGCAGCCAGGGGCAGGGACUGCCACCAGAUGUGCCUGCCUUUCUGGAUUUUGAUGCGAAAGGGAUAGCAGGAGGAAAUAUUGGGAGACAAAAGCCUCGGUUUAAAUGAUCAUUUUCUUUAUUUAACAUGGCAGCAGACACUCUGCGUAGGAUCAUCAUGCCGAGCACAAACUGGACUUUUCUACUUCCCAGCAGGAGUCAGGCAGGUCCCUGCUUGCUAAAUGAGCAUUGAAGAGAGGCAGACUGCUGCACUCCAGAGACAGUAGAACUUUUUCUAGUUGUUACGUAAAUUAAUGUGACAAUCUACGUGACAGCUGACGACACCUUAUUUUUGAAAAAUGUGGAUCCAUUUACCUCCAUCCCUUGUGAUCAUCAGCAGUGAAAAUCCCCAUGUGGGAUUCUGGAGCUCAUCUUCUAAAGACACUAGAUGAGAAGGACCAUCAUUUCCUUCAGUACUGUGUUGGAACAGGAGCCAUGCAGUUGCCUCCUUUCUUCUCUAGGUC